Molecule: unclassified non-coding RNA, 148 nt
Organism: Pongo abelii (Sumatran orangutan)
Lineage: Eukaryota; Metazoa; Chordata; Mammalia; Primates; Hominidae
Rfam family: Metazoan signal recognition particle RNA
About the family: The signal recognition particle (SRP) is a universally conserved ribonucleoprotein. It is involved in the co-translational targeting of proteins to membranes. The eukaryotic SRP consists of a 300-nucleotide 7S RNA and six proteins: SRPs 72, 68, 54, 19, 14, and 9.
Source: Ensembl
GCCAGGUGUAGUGGCGUGUACCUGUAGUCCCAGCUACUCAGGAGGCUGAGGUGGGAGGAUCACUUGAGCCUGGGAGGUUGGGGCUACAGUGAGCCAAGAUUGUGCCAGUGUACUCCAGCCUGGGCUACAGAGCAAGACCCUGUCUCAU